This 1243-nucleotide ribosomal RNA is filed under the name uncultured Acinetobacter sp. Its description in RNAcentral is "bacterial SSU rRNA". It matches the Rfam family "Bacterial small subunit ribosomal RNA", at positions 78 to 1316 of the family's 1533-position model. Lineage: Bacteria; Pseudomonadati; Pseudomonadota; Gammaproteobacteria; Moraxellales; Moraxellaceae. The record is from RNAcentral.
GCUUGCUACCUGACCUAGCGGCGGACGGGUGAGUAAUGCUUAGGAAUCUGCCUAUUAGUGGGGGACAACAUUCCGAGAGGAAUGCUAAUACCGCAUACGCCCUACGGGGGAAAGCAGGGGAUCUUCGGACCUUGCGCUAAUAGAUGAGCCUAAGUCAGAUUAGCUAGUUGGUGGGGUAAAGGCCUACCAAGGCGACGAUCUGUAGCGGGUCUGAGAGGAUGAUCCGCCACACUGGGACUGAGACACGGCCCAGACUCCUACGGGAGGCAGCAGUGGGGAAUAUUGGACAAUGGGCGAAAGCCUGAUCCAGCCAUGCCGCGUGUGUGAAGAAGGCCUUUUGGUUGUAAAGCACUUUAAGCGAGGAGGAGGCUACUUGGAUUAAUACUCUAGGAUAGUGGACGUUACUCGCAGAAUAAGCACCGGCUAACUCUGUGCCAGCAGCCGCGGUAAUACAGAGGGUGCGAGCGUUAAUCGGAUUUACUGGGCGUAAAGCGUGCGUAGGCGGCUUCUUAAGUCGGAUGUGAAAUCCCUGAGCUUAACUUAGGAAUUGCAUUCGAUACUGGGAAGCUAGAGUAUGGGAGAGGAUGGUAGAAUUCCAGGUGUAGCGGUGAAAUGCGUAGAGAUCUGGAGGAAUACCGAUGGCGAAGGCAGCCAUCUGGCCUAAUACUGACGCUGAGGUACGAAAGCAUGGGGAGCAAACAGGAUUAGAUACCCUGGUAGUCCAUGCCGUAAACGAUGUCUACUAGCCGUUGGGGCCUUUGAGGCUUUAGUGGCGCAGCUAACGCGAUAAGUAGACCGCCUGGGGAGUACGGUCGCAAGACUAAAACUCAAAUGAAUUGACGGGGGCCCGCACAAGCGGUGGAGCAUGUGGUUUAAUUCGAUGCAACGCGAAGAACCUUACCUGGUCUUGACAUAGUAAGAACUUUCCAGAGAUGGAUUGGUGCCUUCGGGAACUUACAUACAGGUGCUGCAUGGCUGUCGUCAGCUCGUGUCGUGAGAUGUUGGGUUAAGUCCCGCAACGAGCGCAACCCUUUUCCUUAUUUGCCAGCGAGUAAUGUCGGGAACUUUAAGGAUACUGCCAGUGACAAACUGGAGGAAGGCGGGGACGACGUCAAGUCAUCAUGGCCCUUACGACCAGGGCUACACACGUGCUACAAUGGUCGGUACAAAGGGUUGCUACCUAGCGAUAGGAUGCUAAUCUCAAAAAGCCGAUCGUAGUCCGGAUUGGAGUCUGCAACUCGAC